Molecule: long non-coding RNA, 487 nt
Organism: Metopolophium dirhodum (rose-grain aphid)
Lineage: Eukaryota; Metazoa; Arthropoda; Insecta; Hemiptera; Aphididae
Exons: 3
Source: RefSeq, a predicted model, not a curated record
AUAGGUAUGUCGUACGGCGCUCGGACCUAUUAUAAUCACCAACACGAAGUGCUCGGAAACGAUCAAGAGUUAUUUUUGUUCAGUUAAAGUUGAAAAAACGAUCUUUAUAUUUUUUAAAGAAGGAUCGACUGGUUGGUGACCAGCUGGUGGACUUGGCAUAUUAUAUUAUACCAGUGUUCGGGAGGACUGCGCGUUCAUCGCGUUCACGUAGUACCUAUAUUAUGUAUUUUGUGAAUUUGCCGUAAACGUCACUCACUUAAUAAAUCAAACAGAACAUGAACGAAAUUCAUAUUAUUUAGAAACUUCAGAGAAAAUACAUGGAAGUUGAAGAUAGAUGCAUUUUCACUGCUCCAAAAUGUGAUGACUGACUACCGCAGACAGAAAAAAAUCACACAAUAUCAUUGUAAAACUAAUAAAUCCAUUGCUCCACUCAGAAUCAAAAAUAUGUGUUACAGACUACGUGUUCCAUACGGGCUACUAAAUUUAG